GUCGAGCGAACGGACGAGAAGCUUGCUUCUCUGAUGUUAGCGGCGGACGGGUGAGUAACACGUGGAUAACCUACCUAUAAGACUGGGAUAACUUCGGGAAACCGGAGCUAAUACCGGAUAAUAUUUUGAACCGCAUGGUUCAAAAGUGAAAGACGGUCUUGCUGUCACUUAUAGAUGGAUCCGCGCUGCAUUAGCUAGUUGGUAAGGUAACGGCUUACCAAGGCAACGAUGCAUAGCCGACCUGAGAGGGUGAUCGGCCACACUGGAACUGAGACACGGUCCAGACUCCUACGGGAGGCAGCAGUAGGGAAUCUUCCGCAAUGGGCGAAAGCCUGACGGAGCAACGCCGCGUGAGUGAUGAAGGUCUUCGGAUCGUAAAACUCUGUUAUUAGGGAAGAACAUAUGUGUAAGUAACUGUGCACAUCUUGACGGUACCUAAUCAGAAAGCCACGGCUAACUACGUGCCAGCAGCCGCGGUAAUACGUAGGUGGCAAGCGUUAUCCGAAAUUAUUGGGCGUAAAGCGCGCGUAGGCGGUUUUUUAAGUCUGAUGUGAAAGCCCACGGCUCAACCGUGGAGGGUCAUUGGAAACUGGAAAACUUGGGUGCAGAAGAGGAAAGUGGAAUUCCAUGUGUAGCGGUGAAAUGCGCAGAGAUAUGGAGGAACACCAGUGGCGAAGGCGACUUUCUGGUCUGUAACUGACGCUGAUGUGCGAAAGCGUGGGGAUCAAACAGGAUUA
Molecule: ribosomal RNA, 737 nt
Filed under: uncultured Staphylococcus sp.
Lineage: Bacteria; Bacillati; Bacillota; Bacilli; Caryophanales; Staphylococcaceae
Description: bacterial SSU rRNA
Rfam family: Bacterial small subunit ribosomal RNA
Source: RNAcentral